Molecule: ribosomal RNA, 513 nt
Filed under: uncultured Prevotella sp.
Lineage: Bacteria; Pseudomonadati; Bacteroidota; Bacteroidia; Bacteroidales; Prevotellaceae
Description: bacterial SSU rRNA
Rfam family: Bacterial small subunit ribosomal RNA
Source: RNAcentral
GAUGAACGCUAGCUAUAGGCUUAACACAUGCAAGUCGAGGGGCAGCAUAUAGAUUGCUUGCAAUUUAUGAUGGCGACCCGGCGCACGGGUGAGUAACGCGUAUCCAACCUACCAUUACUAGGGAAUAACCCAGCGAAAGUUGGCCUAAUGCCCUAUGUAGUCGUUUGAUCGCCUGAGAUUUCGACGAAAGAUUUAUCGGUAUUGGGAUGGGGGAUGCGUCUGAUUAGGCUUGUUGGCGGGGUAAAGGCCCACCAAGGCAACGAUCAGUAGGGGUUCUGAGAGGAAGGUCCCCACAUUGGAACUGAGACACGGUCCAAACUCCUACGGGAGGCAGCAGUGAGGAAUAUUGGUCAAUGGGCGAGAGCCCUGAACCAGCCAAGUAGCGUGCAGGAUGACGGCCCUAUGGGUUGUAAACUGCUUUUAUAUGGGGAAUAAAGUGAGGGGACGUGUCCCUUAUUGCAUGUACCAUACGAAUAAGGACCGGGCUAAUUCCGUGCCCAGCACCGCGGUAAU